CCUCCAAUAAAUAUAAUGUUUUUUUUGUGAAAAAAUACUUAAUAUUUUUAUAAAAUAUGGUUAACUAGUUAUAUAUUAUUUCUCUUUUAAUAUAGUAAAUAAUUUAAAGUCGUCGCAAAAAAAGUUAAUUAAAUUUUUAUAAAAAUAUUGUGAUACAUAUUAUUUUAUUAAAUAAAAUUAUAAUUUUAUUGAAGAUUGCAGGUUAUUCUCAAAUUGGAAUAUUUCAAAACCGUAAUAGGACAAAGAAAGAGACGAAAAGGAUGCUUAAAAUACUUGGUAUUCUGGUCUAUUCCAAUGCGGCCUAUCUCCGAAUAGGCCAAUUCGGGGAUAGGAAUUUCCUGAACCGGCUAAUCACAUGGCAGAACCAUUUUGAAGAUUUUCCUGAAAUAAGAAAAAACAUAUUUAUGUACAUACUAAAAAUCAAAGACGGAGUAGAGAGCUUUGCAUCAUAAAAAAAAAUUAAGAUUUGAGUUUAUAUUUGUUAGUUCUUAGAAACAAAUCUUAGCAAUAAAAUCUUAUAAAUACCACUUAAAGUUUUGAAAGAAAAUGACAAUAAUAAAAAUGUAAUAUGAAAAACAAGGAAAAAUACAAAUCGAAAAAAUAUAAAUAUAGUAAUUAUAAACUAACAGAAAGGGCAACAACACCGACACCUACAUCCAAUGAUUUAAUAAGACAAGCUGUGUACCGGUUAUAAACAAAAUCGAACCAGACAAUAGUCAAACAGAACCUAGCACUAAAAAACCCAAACAGGAAACUAAAUCACUAGAAACGAACCAGAAAAAAAAUCGAACAGGAGAAAAAGGACCCAAAACCACAACCAAAAUAGCUGCGAAUGGGUAAAAAAUCGACACAAAAAACAUGAGGACAGACUUAACUAAAAUCGAAAUAAUACCAAACCAUAGCCAACGUACCCAAACUAAAUUGAAACGAACCAUACCAACUCGACACGAAACCAAUCAAACCACUAUAACGGAGCCGAUGCAGAAUGAGCCCAUGACAGACCAAGUUCACUAACUGUUAAAACAGAACCAUUAUCCCGAGCACCAAGACUCAAAACCUGAACCUAAAAACAAACCCACUAUCACAAACCAAAAAGAACAGGAAACCUAUCCCACAUGACAAACAACAAGACCAAUACCCACAAACCAAAAAAGAAGCCACUAUACCCUGAACCGAACCCGACCCAAAUCACCGAAAAUUACAAAACUUACGCGGAACACAAGCCCAAACGAUAAAAUCGAAACUCGAUAACCCAAGCCACAAUAGUUUUUUGCUAAGCAAAAAAUAAAAAGAAAUAGAUUGUAAGACAAUAGCUAAAAUAGUUAACAGAGGGAUACACAAAAUUCAAAAAUAAAGAACAUAUACUAGAAGAUAAACAAUCAAAAAGAACGACCAAACUUAGAUCAAUAGACUUGAAACACGAAACGAAACUGUGAAUUGUAAAGCAAAAAACAAAACUCCUAAAAAAAACCCACUGAAAUACGAGUAAAAAAACAUAUAGAUUUGAAACUAAAACAGAAAUGACAAGGCAAAAGAAAAUUUUGAACUUAAGAUUCAUACCUGAAUAUCAGUCUACAAUGAAGCAGGGGAUUUCAAUAUCAAUAAAAACAGAAACCGCAGAGAAAAACUUUGGAUCUCUCCCUCUCACGAAAACUCUCUUCCUACUGUCGCUUAACAGAAAAAAUAGAAAAGAGGCCGAGAGGAAAAAAAAUUGUUCAUUUUAUU
Molecule: long non-coding RNA, 1725 nt
Filed under: Gossypium raimondii (Peruvian cotton)
Lineage: Eukaryota; Viridiplantae; Streptophyta; Magnoliopsida; Malvales; Malvaceae
Description: long non-coding RNA (GRAI_LNC010442)
Source: RNAcentral